UCACUUUUAUCGAAGUCCAUCCUGAAGUAUACUAUAGAGGUGAACGCAAUUGUAGAGUUAAAAGUUCCUGAACUCUGAGUGAUCUGGGCUAACCUGUUUGCUGAUUGGCAUGCAUGGGAAGAAGUGGAGGACAUGUCCAUCUUUGAUGACAUAAAACAAGUUGCUCAUUUGCAUGGAAGAUGCCAAAUAAAGGGAGUAACUAUCCCCACCUGCACCUCCUAUUUCCUAGCGUUCAAUAAUUGAAGGCAUCGAUACAUUUAUCAGCGAGUCAUGGAAGGAUCCUCUACUGCAACAUGGAGAGCUUGCUCUUGUGCACAUGUUUUGCUCAAUUUGCCAAGGUUCUCAUUUGAAACUGAAGGAAUUAAACAUGAAUUAGCAAUUGCUUUAUAAAAAGCCACAUUUUAAUGUUCUCUUGACAUUCGAAGCAAGCCAGUGGCUUUGUGGAAGCCUCUUUUUCUGUUUAUUACAUCUUGAAUAUAUUUUGCCUCGAUUAUAUAAAUAAGGUUUUGGAGAAGGAUGAGGAUGAAGGUUUCACUAUAUGGGUGUGUUGAUUGGCAUGUAUUUCUGCUCGUUCGUUCCAGCCUGGUCUUUCCUCUGACUUUGAGCUAUGAGUUUGGUUGCUUUGCUUUAGUAUCAAAUGGGCCAUGAAUAUUCAUGUACGUAUCUUUACACACACACAUCUUAUUUCUGAUUGGUGAUUUUAGAAACCUAUAAUCCAAAAUUUUGGACAACCUUUUGCCCUUAUAUUAAUUAAAAUACAUGUCUUUUACUUUCUAUAAAACCAAUAGAGAGCACUGAAUAUAAUUGUGCAUGCUCCAAAUUAUCUCGAAAUGACACAAUGAGAUUCUCAUGUACUUAACUAAGGUGGCGUUGAAAGUGGCACACUUAGACCAAUUACUUUCCCAUUUGAUAUUCUAUCCUUUUGUUCAAGAACAAGAAGGGAGAGAGAGACUCUAGUUUUUGUAAAGAGAAAGAAGCUUGAGCGCAAUUUCACAUCUAGGAAGUAACCAAUAAAAUUAGUGCCAUCAUUAAAAUAACUUCAUGAGUGGAAAAACCUAUGCCAUCGAGAAUAGAGAAAGAAGAUUGGUCUCAUGGCAAACAUAGCAUUUUACAAGAUGAGAGAGACUUUAUAGAAAGGAAGGACUUGAAAGAAGCCAUACUCUAUGCCUCUAUUGCAAGAGAUCAUAUUACCGUAGUGUUUUUCAUAAAAAAAUGAAGUUCAUAUAUAUAUUGUUUUUGUUAAAAAAUCUGAUUUUUUUGAAGAUCUAUUGAAAAAACUAAGAGUUCUUAAAGGAUUUCAAAACUCAGAGAUUUCUUAAAAACUUGUGUUUUAAACGACGACUUGCUCGCUUGGGGAUUCAAGUUCUGGCAUUGUAGGUACGGGGUUAAGGAAAUUGGGGUUUUAAUUUUUUAUGACCAAAUAAUAUAGCAUCCUAGAGGAGGAGAUUGAAACUGAGGGUUUUAGAGAGAGAAACUGCGUGAGAGCCAAACAAAGAGUUAAAAAUUUGAGCUUAUUUAAGAAAAUUUAUUUUUUAUGAUAUCUAAAUAGUUUUCUAUAUUUUUAUUGAUAGCUUUUCUUAUGCUAAAUAUUAAUAUAUAUUUUUUUUCUAAUUUUUACCGAAUUUUUAAAAAUAUUUUUUUGGUUUUUAUAGGCAAAUUUGGGCUUAAAUGUAGUGGGGUUAGCUUUAAUCAGCUCGGUUCAGCCAACGAUGAUGAAUAUCGGCUCGGCUAAAUUCGGCUAAAAUCAGUUCGGCUUGGCUAGUUUUGGGUCAGCUUGGCUAUAUUAGGCUCAUCUCGGCUCAGCUCGGCUAGAUUCGGCUCGGCUCAGCUGACUUCACAUAAAUUUGUAAUAGAGCUGAGUUAAGCAGAAUAUUAUAAACCGAGCCGAGCCGAGUAGAUAUCAGUCGAGCCGAACCGAUAUCAGCCGAGCCGCGCCGACCAAGCCAGCCAGUUCGCCCACAACCUCCGUUUUUAUUUUAAAAAAAAAGGUGGGGUGGGGGGCAAAACCAAUUUCGUUCACCUUUUUUUCAACUCUAUGUCCCAGUGUAAAGUGGGAGAUUAGUUUGAGGGUUGGGAUUUUGUGAAACUUCUUGACUGCUUUAGGUUUUAUGUGUCUUGUAUGAGAAUAAAUAAAUGGAAUGGCGGCUGCUUCAAUUGUUGAGAGAAAGAGAAGUACAUUUGUACCAGUUAAAGAGAGAAAGAUUUGCAUUCUUUCAAAGAGAGAGAACAUAAAGAGAUUGUGGAAAAACACAGAAGAAGGAACAAGUGGAAAAGAAAAAGAUGCGGUAGUCCUCUUUCUAACUGAUCAUCAAUCAAUUAAGAGGAUAAGGGGUUUGCUUUGCUUUGCCUACAUAUCUGUGCAAAGUUUGAAUGUGCAUCUGUGUAACUCUGAUAUGCAAGAGAGAGUGGGAAAAUGCCUGGCCAGAAAAGAAAGGAGCAAAAAGGCAUAUGCUAGCAUCCUGACCUCCACCACUUCCUUGGGCUCACUCUUUAAUAAAGGUGUAUCUGAUGCGAGAGGAAUUUGAGUUGCUUGACUUCUUGUUUUCAUUUCUUUCAGUUUCUUAGCAAAGUUUUUGCUUUUAGAUAAAUACAACCGCAAGAACUAGAAUGAAAGAAAUCCAUCACAAAAUUACAUAAAUAGAGCACACAAUGCAGUAGACAACAAAAGUAACCCUUGACAAAACCAAACUGAAGUUUGGUAAUUUGGAUACAAUUUAUGAAGAAACUGUUGAUGCCCCAAGUAGUUUAGCUGGAAAUAUGCAGUAUAUCACAUUGCAAAUAGAGGGGCAAACCAGAGAUUACCACUUCCUGUGCAUUGGUUCCUGAGUCCUUUGGCAACUCUCGAUGCCGCUGAGAGUAUAGAUGUUGCCAGGAGUGGCCAUUUCUUUCUGUUGGGUGUUGAAGCUAUGUCUGCAUUAUGCUCUGAAAAUCCAAGUUCACCAAUUUUACAUGUUCCUUUGGUUUGGAAAUUACAUGCACUGUCCAUGGUUUUCCUCAAAAGAAAUGACAUUCUUGAAGAGACGCAAACCAGAGAUACUUUCAAAACUUCACAGGACAUGUAUGGGCAACGUCUGGACAAACUGAGACAAAGAAAACCUGAAGUCGUUCCUGAAAAUGAAAAAUCCUCUGGUGUAUAUAGCAGAGAAAUCCUUUACUUCGUAAAAGAGGUCCAUGAAAGUUAUGGCUCAUUUAUUGAGAUCCCCUUUGAGCAAUUCAGUGCUGUAUCCUAUUUGGCCAGCAAUUAGGUGUAUAUCUCUACCGUACGGUAGAAGUGCCAGUCAGACUUGCGGCAUAGAAAGCACUAUCCAAUGCCCAUAUUUUUGAACUUUUUCCGCCUAUAAAUGAUUGCAUUGCUGAGAUUGAAGGAUAUCUGAUCCCUUUUGAGGUACUGGAUUGGACUUCUAUUUGCUUCCAUGCCCCUUUACUUCAUACUGGCAUCCUUUGACAAAGCUCUGUCUCUGACUUAUGUUGUGCACUGUUUUUUAGUGAGAGAAAGAGAAGUACAUUUGUAAAUAGUUAGAGAGAUAAAGGUUUGUAUUCUUUCAGUGAGAGAGAGAGAGAACAUAAAGAGAUGGUAACAGAAAUACAAAUAGAAGAAGGAACAAGUGGAAAAGGAAAAGGUGCAGUGGUUCUCUCUCUCUCUAACUGAUCAUCAAUCAGGAGGAGUAAGGGGCAAAUGUGUUCAAAGUUUGAAUGUGCAUCUGUGUAACUCUAGAAAACGGCCUACUGUUUAAUUCUAGAGAAUCAUCGAUGCACUUCAAUUUUCAGUCUUUUCUGCUGCCUCCUGUACUUAUCGUCCUUACUCAUGUUGCNNNNNNNNNNNNNNNNNNNNCAAAGCUCUGUCUCUGACUUAUGUUGUGCACUGUUUUUUAGUGAGAGAAAGAGAAGUACAUUUGUAAAUAGUUAGAGAGAUAAAGGUUUGUAUUCUUUCAGUGAGAGAGAGAGAGAACAUAAAGAGAUGGUAACAGAAAUACAAAUAGAAGAAGGAACAAGUGGAAAAGGAAAAGGUGCAGUGGUUCUCUCUCUCUCUAACUGAUCAUCAAUCAGGAGGAUAAGGGGCAAAUGUGUUCAAAGUUUGAAUGUGCAUCUGUGUAACUCUGAAAAGGCCACUGUUUAAUUUCUAGAGAAUCAUCGAUGCACUUCAAUUUUCAGCUUUUCUGCUGCCUCCUGACUUAUGUCCUUACUCAUGUUGCUCGAUGUAGCCACCCUUCAGCUUACAGUUAUCUCCCAAAUAAGAAAAAUAAAAUUGAAAAUCUGUCUUUAGGUAUCUUUGUGGAGGCAGAGGGAGACCAGCUGGUCUUCGAGAUGAUGAUUUCUGGCUCAGAACAACUCUUGACCCAUGUCAUUCGCUUUAGUAUUUUUGUGUUCUUUGAUCCUUUUUAUAUAUAGAAAUUUUGUUAACUAUCAAAAAAGGUACAAAGUAUUUAGAUGCAGCACCUUAACGUGGUUGAAAGACUUGUAUUAUGCUAGCAUUAGUUCAAUUGUGCAUCUGAAUCAUGAGUUUGUUUUCCCCACAGCAUGUACAUGUUCUUGAAAUAUGUUUUAUAUAUAUAUAUAUAUAUAUAUAUAUAUUCAUCCAUGUGGUGGUGCUGGUAGGAUGGGUGGGUGUCUUACUUAAAUGUUAGAGUUAGAAGCAUUAGGAGCAGAAGAAGAUGUCGAUCGCCGAGUUAUUGCGCUGGAUAACCGAACCUCUCCACAUCAUGCAGCCAUUGAAAAGGCAGAGCUCAGGUAACCACCAUUGCCAUUUUCCUCUGGAUAUCUAUCCAUCAUUGGAUGCUCUUUUUUUUUUUUAAAAAAAAUAUCAAAGCAGUUGAGAAUUUGAUUGAGAAAAGAAGAGAAGCGAAUUAGACGAGUUGUUGCGCUGGAUAACUGAACCUCUCCACUUCAUGCAGCCAUUGAAAAGGCUCAAGCAGUGCUCAGGUAACCACCACCGCCAUUUUCUCUGGAUAUCUAUCCAUCUUUGGAUACUCUUCUUUUCUUUCUUUUAAUAUCAAAGCAAUACUAAGAUUGAGCUACUCGCAGGCUGGAAUUUGAUGCGAGAUAGGACAGGAGAACUGAACUAGAGUUUCUUGAGAAGGUAAGAACCUAUUUGUUGUUGUCUCACUUUACCAUUCGCCUUGAUACAUUUGAUGCGGUUGCAAUCCCAUUUACUAAAGAAGAAUUUCCAAUUCUGGAGUUGUAGGGAGGCAAUCCCCCUUUUUCCUAUUCCUCAAAAUCUUCUUCACCAGCCUUUAUGGACUCUAGCUUUGCGAAUGCAAUCAACCAAGCCCAAGGCAAUCCUCACGAGAUAAGUGAUGGGCUUCCUAUUCAACGGCCCACAUGAAGUCCUUGAAGCCUUUAUCAAUGCUGAUAGCGAAUCUAGAUGCAAAAAUAAGUCGAAGAAUGUCAAAGGUAAGGCUCCCGCCACCAAUUUAAGAGCAUCCCGAGAGCUAUCCAACUCUCUUUCAAAGUAAGGUACGAGAAAGGAGAACUCUCAGCUAAGGUCCUCCCCACUCCCUCGGCUCCUCAGCAUUCUCGCCGCUCAACCAUGAGUGUCAUUCACCCCUUAUCUUUGCUAUGAAGAUCUUUAUAUGGAAUAUAAGGGUUUGGACCACCCAGGAAAACGGAAAAAUAUUCAUCAAUUUGUUUCACAGUAUUCUUCCUCUCUUCUUGGUUUGGUGGAAACCAAGUUUCCUUCCCCCACUCUGCCAAAUUCGAAAUAUUUGGGGUUUUCCCCUACUAGUGGUUAGCUCUGAAUGCAAUCAGACCUUCUGGCGAUAUCUAGGUCCUCUGGGACCCAUCUCAACACGCCUUAGUUGCCUCUCACAUUGGCAACUUCUCUGUCAUAGUGACCCAAGCUAGGAUCACUGAUUUCCUCCAUUGGAAGUGCAUUGUGGUCUAUGGGCCACAAGAAGACAAUGAGAAAUUGGUCGUUUUGAGAGAGUUACAGUCUUUGAUGACCCUCCCUUUUUCUUGGUGGUGCGUAGGAGGUGAUUUUAAUAUCACCAGAUGGUCUCACGAAGCAAUUCCCACCGCAAAACUACCCCUUCAAUGGUACAGUUCUCUUAUUUCUUAGCUCGUAACAGUCUUCUAAACAUCCAGUUGGAAGGAACAGAGUUCAGUUGGUCUAGUCAUUAGGCUAAUCCAAGCCUCUCAAAAUUAGAUAGAUUUCUAACCCCUCUCAAGUGGGAUCAUGAGUUCCUUGGCACCUGCUCUCUGGUACUUCCCAAGCACUCCUAAAAUCAUAGACCUAUCCUGCUGGAUACCCAGUCCCUUCCUCGAGGGCCUAAGCCUUUUCGCUUUGAGCUUGGCUCAAAGAGCCCGGUUUCCCCUCUCCUGUCUGUAACCAUUGGGAGUCCUUCUCCCCCCUUGUGAAUGGGUAGGCCGGUUUUAUCUUGUAGAAAAAGCUUCAAAUGCUCGAAGUUUUCCUGAAAUCAUGGAGCUCACAGCUCCCUGGAAACUUAUGAUACCAAAAAGACUCCCUUUUGAGGUCUAUUCAACACUAAGCCUUCAUUGAAGAACUUAGACAUCUCUCCCCUUCUGAGAUGGAUUCUUGAUCCAUCCACAAACAUGAUUACCAAUGCCUCCUAAAGAAAGAAAAAAUUUAUUGGACUCAGCGGGUCAAAGUCAAAUGGCUCAUGCUUGGCAACCAAAAUACAACUUACUUCCACAAGAUAGCCAUUUGUGUAAGAAGGGAGAACUCUAUUACCCACUUCAAGGUGGGGGACCAGAUUGUUGACUAUCCCAAUCUCAUUGAGGCAGCGGCUGUUGAAUAUUUUUUCAAGCUUUUCUCUUCCCCUUAUGGUCCUAGUCCAGUAAUUGCAGACCUCUCCUUCUCUUUUAUUUCUCCAUUAUCUGCAGCCUCUUUGGAAAGCACUUUUUAAGAGGACAAAAUACUCCAAGCCAUUAAAGAUCCCAAUGGAGACCUGGCCCCCAGCCCUAACCGCUUCCCCAUAGCCCUCUUCGAAGUCUGUUGGGAUACCCUUAGGACUGAUAUCAUGGCUUUGUUUUUCGAAUUUCACUCUCAAGCCACUAUCCAUAAGGUGAUGAAUGUCACUUUCAUUGCCAAGAUCCCCAAGAAAGAGGGAGAAGGAGAGCUUAAAGACUUCAGACCCAUUAGUCUGAUUAAUACUUCCUACAAAAUUCUCUUGAGGGCCUGGCUUCCCGCCUCAAACGUGUCCUUAGUCAGAUGAUCUUAUCAUCCUAAGGGACCUUUGUGAAGGAACGCCAGAUUCUCUAACAGCACACGAAUGCAUACAUUCCCGCUGUAGUGCAAAAAUCCCAAGCUUGGUUCAAAAAUCUUAUGAUCAUGUGGACUCGGAAAUUCUUGAUGAGACUUUUUCCAAAAUACCAUUUGGUGGAGAUGGAUCCAAGGGUGUAUUUCAAAACCCUAAUUUUCGGACUUUAUUAAUGGCACAUCUAGGGGUUACUUUCAUGCUUCGAGAGGUCUCCGCCAAGGGGAUCCCCUUUCACCCUUACUAUUUACCAUAGUGGUUGAGGUGUUCAGUGCCUCACUAUCUCGUGGGUACAGUACAAGACGCAUUUCGGGUUUCCAAGUGGCUAGGUCGGGUCUCUCGAUAUUCCACCUCCAAUAUGUCGAUGAUACCCUCCUCUUUUGCGAUGCAUUGUUUAAAAAAGUUAGUUGUUUAUUGCUCUUCCUCCAAUGCUUCAAGUUGGCUAUGGGCCUUAGGGUGAACCUAGAAAAAACUAAGAUGACAAGAAUCUGCCUUGACAAAGUCAGAGUCAAAUGCUUCGCUGACUCAUGGGGAUGUGCUGUAGAGUUAAUGCCCUCAUCUUAUCUUAGCCUUCCAUUUUGCAUUGGCCUUCCUCGAAUAAGGGAGAGUCCUUUCACCAAGCUGCAGAGUGACCUUAUCAAGGCAACAAUUUCCAGCAUUUCUCUUUUCUUUAUUUCCCUUUUCUUUAUGCCAAUGGUCGGAGUCGCUAGACUGGAAAAACUCAUGAGGGCUCUAAGGGUGCUCAAUGCAUUGAAGGGGUAAGUGAAGGAAGUCAAGCCCCAAGCACGAGUGCUUAUGUAUGUGGAAGUGUCUAUUAAUAGAAAACCUACUAAGGCUAUGAUAGAAACCGGGGCUACACACAACUUUAUGGCAGAUCAAGAGGCACGUCGGUUGAACCUCAGGGAAGGUACUGGAUGGUCUCUCACUAAAAUCAAAUACUUGUGGGCAUCGUUCAGCCUCCUUUCAAGGGAAGGGAGGCCUGAACUUGCUGUGCUCCCUCCCUCACUUGCCCCUGACAACGAAGCGAGAAUUGAAUCAAUUACUUGUUUCAGUCAGCUUGCUCUCAAACUAGCCAUACACGAAACGACCUCAUAGACAUGAUGAAACUUGAUUCCUUGUUCACCUCCUCCCCACUCGCUUUCCUACUCCCUUGCUAGUUUCUUUUGUCUGGCUGGUACCCUUUCUCUUUAGGGGCAGACAACAUUACUGGUGCACCUAAUGCGAGAUCUUGGAACCCAAAUUUCAGGAGACUCUUAGUUGACCACAAGCUUCACCACUUUUUGAAUCUCUCGGUCUUUCUCGAAUCGAUAUUUUUUCUCCCACAUGCAAUGACAAGAUUGCCUGAUCCCCCUGUCCAUCAGGUUCAUUCAUAGUUGCUUCAUUUUAUUGAAGCUUAUACUCCUCGCCUUCUACUCCCCUCUCAGCCUUUCCCUCUAUUGCCACCAAGUCUUGGUGCUCCUUUUUGCUCCCAAAAUCCAGCUUUUUACUUGGAUGGCACUCCAUGAAAGGGCUUUGACACUCGAUCAACUAUAGCGAACGGGUAUGCCUUUGCCUAACAGAUUAACCAUGUGCCUCAAAGCUGAAGAAACCAAUCAACAUCUAUUUCUAAAUUGUGAGAUUGCCUUGGCCCUUUGGACUGACCUUCUUCUUCUAUUCAAGUGGUUGUGGGUCAUUCACCAAUAGAUCCCUCACCUCUUCUCCUUAUGCCUUAGAACUUCUUGGAAAAAUUCAGGAAACCUUCUAUGGAGAGCUUCCAUCUCAACCACUCUUUGAACCAUUUGGAUUGAGAGGAAUAAUAGUAUCUUUAGUGGGGAGAGAGCCUCUGCCUAAGCUCUUAUCAAAAAAAGAAGGUCACUUGUCACAUUCUGAGCCCUAACCCUCCCAAGCUUCUCCAUCUUCUCCUUUUCGGAUCUUCACCAAAAUUAGCAAGCAUUGCUGCACCUAAGUACCCACAGGAUUUCUCAAGCUUCUCCAUCUUCUCCUUUUCAGAUCUUUACCAAAAUUGGCAAGCAUUGCUGCACUUAAGUACCCACAGGAUUCCUCAAGAUUCUUUAUGGCUGCUCUUUAGGCAAUCAGAGCCCCUCAGGUAAUCGAUGCCUGUUUAGGGAUUAUGAAGGCCUGAUCCUCCUUUCUUAUGCCCUGCCUAUCAGAGUUGUGGAUUCCACAUUAGCUGAGGCCAAGUCUUUACUCAAAGGACUCAGAAGAUUUAAUCAUCUUUGGAGUAGAAAGGUGUAGGUAGAGGGUAUUCCAGCAACACUAUCGCUUGGGCUUCUUGCAAUGCCCCUUGCCCUUGGAGACUAGAUAACAUUUUUGUAGCAAUUGGCCACAUCUGUAGCAGUAUCCUAGUCUCUUGAAGACACACUCGUAGGAAUAGUAACGUUGCGGCAGAUGCGCUAGCAAGGGAGGGAGCUAGUCUCAACUAUCCCCAGGGGAAUUUGGACCCCCCUUAGCUCUCACCUCAUUUUUGGAUCUAUUGUCGAGAUUCUCGGACCCUCAAGGGCUCCUGUAUAGGGCCCCCAUUUUUGGGGAUUGCCUAAUUUUUGUUUGUAGUUCUCUAUACAAUCAAUACAAAAGUCAACUUUCUCAAGGAAAAAAAAGAAGGUUGGUUGACUAAUGGGAAACAUGUUGAUUUAUUGCAUUCGGGAUUUAUGCCUGGAGGAUUCAUCAGAAGCUUCAAAACUUUUUAAUACUAGAACUAUUUGGUUUCUGUUCACUUUGAAUUUGGUCGAAUUUGGUUAACUAUUCAUAUUUUUGCCUCUUCUUAUCAGUUUUUUAUUUCUUGUGGGUUUUGUUUGGUAGGGGGAGGGUAUGUGUGUUUGUGUGUGUGUGUGCAUGCAAGAGAGAGAGAGAGAGAGAGAGAGAUUUAUAGAUGAUAUGAAUUGCAUCUCAAGACAUGGAUAUUUUAGUUGACUUGGGAUUUGAUUUCUGCCCAUAAUCUGAUGGCAAACUGCCAAUAGAACAUUUGUGAGUAUGAAACUUUGGGAUUAGUCAUUAUUUGAACAAGGACCACAAAAGUAUAAAUAGCCAAUGAAUAUGGGAAGCGAGACUUUAUGUACUAUUUGUUUGCCUUUUGCUAGUUGCAUUAUAGAUAUUUGUUGUUUGUUUUGUUAAACAAGAUGGUUUCUCAGUUAUCUCUAUUGUUAAAUCAAUGUAAUUUUUUGUAGUUGGUAGAGCUAGGAUUUACUCUAGCAGCACUUGCUCAUGUUUGACACAUUACUAUGCCGGAUGAAAGGUACAGUAAGUUAUGCCAACAGUGGAGGUUUAGCUAUUCAAGCACUACAGGCAUAUUUUCAGCUUUGCUGCAGGAGGCUUGGUUGCUUGUUGUACAGGUAUUAUUUUAUAUUGUUAUUCUAUGUUGUUGGAUUUAGGCUGAAGGAAUAUCUAAAUAAAUAAUUAAAGCUCAGUUCAUGAAAUUGGGGAAUUCUCUGUGUAUUGUAGUCUCUGGUGGUAUUUGCCAUUAUAAGUAAUCUUGUAAUCAUUUCUCACCAUUUCCUCUUGUUCUUUCCAUCCUACUAUGUAUGUGAUUAAAGAACCUUUUCAUUAUACAUUCUCUUAAAUUUAUAUUUUUUUUCAGCACUUUUAUCCCCUUAUUCCCCUCUCCUUAACCCUAGCAGCUAGGCAAACCAUAUCCAUAUUUAUGAUAUUACAUUGUAAUUGUGCAAGCCCCUCUCUCUCUCUCCCCCUUACACAAGGAAACCCACUUGCACAUGCACAUUUGCACAAACAAAAUGAAAAAUAACUGUUGCUACCCAUGAAAUAAGUAUUAAGCACAUUUACAUGUAGAACAUUUGCUUCUGGGUUUUUUACUUAAGCAUAUAUAAAACAAUGAAAAAAUAUACAAAGAGACCAUUUACUUUUUUUACAAGUAGGUCAUAAUCAUUCAUAUCCCUUGAUCUCAAAUUGACUGGUUGUAGGAGUGUCAUUAAAUAUACUCAAGUUUAAAAAAAAAUUCUAGGACUUUGUGACUCAUCCUAAGCUAUCAAAUUUGACAUCCAAUGAGUAGGAAUCAUUGUGACCCCCUUUUACAAAAAGUAAAUGAUCUAUUUGUAUACAAUGCCAAGAACAAUUUCUCCUUGCGUGAUCAACAAGGUCUGUUGAUAUCAAUUGACAGUUUGACUUGGGCAUAUGCGUCUCCUAUUUUUUCUAAAUCUGCAUGGGAAUUUUCAAUUUUUGAAUACUCGUUACUCUUAUGGUUGAGUGAUCAAUUUAUAUGAUUAUAUUACCUAAUUUUGAGUUCUUUUUUUUUUUUGCAUGUACCCCUGGCAAAAUAACUAAUGCAUGCUUUGGAAUUUCAUGCCCAUCAUCAUGCAUGGAGGACAUAUCACUUUUAUUGAAGUCCAUCCUGAAGUAUACUAUAGAGGUGAAUGCAAUUGUAGAGUUAAAAUUUCUUGAACUCUGAGUGAUCUUGGCUGACCUGAUUGCUGAUUGGCAUGCAUGGUAAGAAGUGGAGGACAUAUCUAUCUUUGAUGCCAUAAAACAAGCUGUUCAUUUGCAUAGAAGAUGUGGAAUAAAGGAAGUUGCUAGCCCCAC
Molecule: long non-coding RNA, 11744 nt
Filed under: Amborella trichopoda
Lineage: Eukaryota; Viridiplantae; Streptophyta; Magnoliopsida; Amborellales; Amborellaceae
Description: long non-coding RNA (ATRI_LNC001992)
Source: RNAcentral